UCUCGUGGCUUCCAUGCAGAAGUGCACGGAAACAGCUGUUUGCUAUCGAAAAGUUGGCUGUUACUGUUCUUCUGAUGGAGGCUGCUGGA
This is a microRNA precursor of Gallus gallus (chicken), 89 nucleotides long. Ensembl annotates it as gga-mir-2131. NCBI's taxonomy places the organism in Eukaryota, Metazoa, Chordata, Aves, Galliformes, Phasianidae. The record is from Ensembl.